This 206-nucleotide unclassified non-coding RNA is filed under the name Hevea brasiliensis (rubber tree). Lineage: Eukaryota; Viridiplantae; Streptophyta; Magnoliopsida; Malpighiales; Euphorbiaceae. The record is from RNAcentral.
GAAAGUGUUAGCAUAUUGGAAAGACAGAGUUUGGCCAGGACCAAGAGCCUGGCCAUCGUUGACAAGGCAGUCGUCAUAACUGACUCGCCGGAAAAUUCUUGGAUUCACCAAUCUGGCUGAGCUGAACCACCCACAUUUCACGUGAAUGUUGGAGAUGCUGCAGUCCGAAGCACAUGAAUUCAAGAUCUGAACUAUGUAUGUUGGAA